This 690-nucleotide ribosomal RNA is filed under the name uncultured Sebacina. RNAcentral's name for it is "eukaryotic LSU rRNA". The stretch from base 264 to 417 matches the Rfam family "5.8S ribosomal RNA". Lineage: Eukaryota; Fungi; Basidiomycota; Agaricomycetes; Sebacinales; Sebacinaceae. The record is from RNAcentral.
CUUGGUCAUUUAGAGGAAGUAAAAGUCGUAACAAGGUUUCCGUAGGUGAACCUGCGGAAGGAUCAUUAGUGAAACUUCAAAGUCGGCUCGUUUACUGUGCUGGUGGAGACACAUGUGCACGUUGCGAGUCGCAAAUCCACACACCUGUGCAUCUAUGACUCUGAGUGCCGCUUUGCAUGGCCUUGACCGGCCUGGCACUCGAGUACUUUCACACACUCUCGAAUGUAACGGAAUGUCUAUUGUGCAUAAUGUACAAAUGAAACAACUUUCAACAACGGAUCUCUUGGCUCUCGCAUCGAUGAAGAACGCAGCGAAAUGCGAUAAGUAAUGUGAAUUGCAGAAUUCAGUGAAUCAUCGAAUCUUUGAACGCACCUUGCACCCUUUGGUAUUCCGAAGGGUACGCCCGUCUGAGUGUCAUUGUAAUCUCACUACAAUCGACUUUCUGGUCGUUUUGUAUGUGGACUUGGACGCUGCCGUGGAUUCAACGGCUCGUCUGAAAUGCCUGAGUGUACCCCGCCUUGCGGCGUAUUCGGUGUGAUACAUCUUCACCGGAGUUGAUCUUUUUUGAAUCGCGUCUGUUUGGUGUGGCUCUAUGCUUCCAACAGUCCCUUCAUGGGACAAUCUCUGACAAUUUGACCUCAAAUCGGGUGGGACUACCCGCUGAACUUAAGCAUAUCAAUAAGCGGAGGA